RNAcentral lists this unclassified non-coding RNA (692 nucleotides) under Hevea brasiliensis (rubber tree). The record is from RNAcentral. Lineage: Eukaryota; Viridiplantae; Streptophyta; Magnoliopsida; Malpighiales; Euphorbiaceae.
GAUAAGAAUGAUCAUCUCUUAAUAUUAUUUACAUACAACAAGCAUUCCAAGUUUUUGUCUCCAAAUCAGACAUUUGUCCAACUCUAACGAAUAGAGGAACAAAAUAAACCCAAAUUGAACAAAAAUCAAUUAACAAAAAUUUACACACACACACACAAUUUCCUAAUCAAUUUCUCAUGUAAUCUCUCUUACUCAACUUUUGAAGAGAGAAAUCACGGGAGAACCAGUAUCAUUCCUCCUCUCCCUACCGUUAAUAGCACCUAACGAUGCUCCAUAAGCAUCACCAACCCUACUCACUGCUGGUGGUACCAAGCCAAAGAGAAGGGCUAAGCUUUGAUUAACUCCAAGUUUAUCCUUAAUCACACAGCUGACCUUGAAGCUUUGAAGUUGCAUUUCUGACCAUGAAUAGGCACAAUCAUCAAUCCUUUCCUACUUGCGGAUGAUAAAACCCAAAGAUUUAACCUUAAUUGUGCGACUGAUUCCACUGCUCCUAUGAAUGAGCUAGAGUAAAUAACAUUCUUGUCAUUUACUAAAUUCAGAGAUCCCUAUAUAGUUGAAGUCUGCCAAACAUAUAUAGACGGGACCGUCAUUGCAACUGAUUUAUUGUUUCAAGUAAAAUUGAGGAAACUUUUCAUUAUCUGCGUUGGAAGUUAAAGAGUGUGUCUCUAACCUGUUCACAGACAAAUAUUUUG